This is a regulatory RNA element of Bacillus sp. B-jedd, 89 nucleotides long. It matches the Rfam family "c-di-GMP-I riboswitch aptamer". Rfam says of the family: GEMM was predicted in a large-scale screen for bacterial structured RNA regulatory elements. Genes associated with GEMM are involved in a diverse array of functions, including chemotaxis regulation, signal transduction, secretion and chitin. Lineage: Bacteria; Bacillati; Bacillota; Bacilli; Caryophanales; Bacillaceae. The record is from Rfam.
GUACGAUAAAGGCAAACCCGCUGAAAAACGGGGACGCAAAACUAGAGGGGCUAAAGCUAUAAAAAUAGCCAUGCCAGCCAGUUUCCGAU